AGCAGCCUCCACCACUGUGAAGUGACAAGUUAGAAGAUGAAAAUAAGGAAAAAUACCUUACUGCCAAGAUGAAUUAUCUGAGAGCAAGACGGAGAACAGUUCAACAUUGUCUAUCUUCUCAAAUCACGCAAUUUCACAAGGUGCUGAGCCACAGGUUUCCAUGGGUACUGUGGGUGCUCCACAAAUGCAGGCCCUGAUUCAACAAGAGGGCUACUCACAUACUUAAAGUUAAACAUCUGCUUGUGAAACAGAUGCCUCUAAAAGUAUGUUACUUAUACAAAGAACAUGAGAUCUUUAAAACAGAAAUACCUCAGGUAAUUAUCAAAGUGUUGUCAAUUCUCAGGGUUUUAUCACAAGAGUUGUGAUAUUUCACGUUUUUCUCAAAGCCCCAGCUUACACAGCCUUGUGAGUA
Molecule: long non-coding RNA, 412 nt
Organism: Mauremys mutica (yellowpond turtle)
Lineage: Eukaryota; Metazoa; Chordata; Testudines; Geoemydidae
Exons: 3
Source: RefSeq, a predicted model, not a curated record